Long non-coding RNA from Micropterus dolomieu (smallmouth bass), 397 nucleotides. RefSeq lists it as uncharacterized. The record is from RefSeq and is a predicted model, not a curated record. The transcript is spliced from 2 exons. Lineage: Eukaryota; Metazoa; Chordata; Actinopteri; Centrarchiformes; Centrarchidae.
CGUGAUCAGUUACUGGAACUGACGGGAACACACUGAGAACCCUUGAUGGUUGAAUUAGGGAUUAAUUCUCCACAUGACUAAUUUCCACAAGGGCUGGACAGUCUGCGGGCAGGUGGAAUGGAGAGAUGCUGAGGGAGAAAUAAAAACAAUUAGAAGUGGAAGAAUAGACAUGAGGGUCCAACUGCAGAGCUCACUCCUGCGGACAGGAGUCGGGGGGCUUUUCCGCCCAAGGAAUGAACUAAACAGGAUUUAACAACAUUCAGUUAUUUCCACGAAUUACUUUAAGUAGUGUUAUUGAAAAGUUGUUUGUCAGGUAACAGCCAAGGGCCAAAACUAAAAGCCUAAAUUUGGUUUCUUGUUGUGUGUAAGGUCUGAAUAAAAUACUUAGACAAAUGAC